Daucus carota subsp. sativus is the source of this 92-nucleotide non-coding RNA. NCBI's taxonomy places the organism in Eukaryota, Viridiplantae, Streptophyta, Magnoliopsida, Apiales, Apiaceae. The record is from Rfam.
AUUUGGCAGUGAUGAUUGUAAACACAGCUUUAAAUGCCAGUUCUGCUUCAGAAAAUUCUUGAUUGAUAAAGCUGAAUUGAUCUGAGCCUAAU